UCUGGGUUUACAAUGAAGAUCAUGAGCUGAUUUUAAAUAAUCUCCUUUGCUUGGACGUUUCGGAAACUCGCUCCUCCGACCCUCCUCGUCUCAUGAAAUGCCACGGGUCUGGUGGCUCGCAGCAGUGGACAUUCGGGAAAAACAACCGCCUCUACCAGGUCUCCGUGGGGCAGUGCAUGAAGGUGGUAGACCCACUUAGCCACAAAGGGUACGUGACCAUGGCCAUCUGUGAUGGGUCCCUUCCUCAGCAGUGGCACUUUGAGAGCUGAGCCAGCGAGGAUACGGCUGAGAAGUGUGAAGCCGAGACCCGAUUCCCCUUCAGCCAUGAUUUUUGGUCAUUCUGGAGGGCUUUGUGAGGAGCCCAGAGCUGCUACCCCCAGCCCACCCAUUGCACGGACCCUGUAGAAAUACUCUGCCCUGAAGAGCUGUGUGCAUGAGAAGGUCCAGGUGGCCACCACAGUGUCCCUGGUCGGGUGCUGCAGCAAUAGCGGCAGCCCCACUGCAGAACAACAUGUAGAAGUGCAAUUUAUCAGCGGUUCCUUGGAUUCUCCUGGAGUAUUGAACUGUUUUUAAGUAAGAGAAAUUAUUAGAGCAACGUAAUUUAAAUUGUGAGAUUUUAGCUUUGUGAUUCUUUUAAAUGACAAUGACAGAAAGGAGCCCUCUUCAAGUAUUUCAUGUGCAGUAUCUCAUUAAUUUACGUUUUUAGUAUGGUUUUACUGGCCAAAUUCUUUUACUUUUUCUGGAAAAUAUUUUUAUUCCCUUUUUUCUUCUGAAAAUUGUCGUUUGUAAUAUUUAAAUUUAGCUCUUUUAAUUUACGGUUUUAGGCCAUUUCACGUAGUUUAAAUUCUUAGCUGUCAUUCGUCACCUCAUAUUUAAAAGAAAGUAACUAUUACAAAGUCUAUUUUGAUGACUCAUGGCAGUAGCUGCAUUUAAAAUAAAGUAUCAUUUUUUUAUGAACCUG
This is a long non-coding RNA of Calidris pugnax (ruff), 961 nucleotides long. RefSeq lists it as uncharacterized. NCBI's taxonomy places the organism in Eukaryota, Metazoa, Chordata, Aves, Charadriiformes, Scolopacidae. The record is from RefSeq and is a predicted model, not a curated record. The transcript has 2 exons.